RNAcentral lists this ribosomal RNA (253 nucleotides) under uncultured bacterium. Its description in RNAcentral is "partial 16S ribosomal RNA". It matches the Rfam family "Bacterial small subunit ribosomal RNA", at positions 524 to 776 of the family's 1533-position model. The record is from RNAcentral.
UACGUAGGGUGCUAGCGUUGUUCGGAAUUACUGGGCGUAAAGGGCGCGUAGGCGGUGUGUCAAGUCAGGCGUGAAAGCCCCGGGCUCAACCUGGGAACCGCGCUUGAGACUGGCACGCUCGAGUUCGGGAGAGGAUGGUGGAAUUCCCAGUGUAGAGGUGAAAUUCGUAGAUAUUGGGAAGAACACCGAUGGCGAAGGCAGCCAUCUGGACCGACACUGACGCUGAGGCGCGAAAGCGUGGGGAGCAAACAGG